This 310-nucleotide ribosomal RNA is filed under the name Durinskia baltica. Its description in RNAcentral is "partial Bacterial small subunit ribosomal RNA". It matches the Rfam family "Bacterial small subunit ribosomal RNA", at positions 1201 to 1532 of the family's 1533-position model. Lineage: Eukaryota; Dinophyceae; Peridiniales; Kryptoperidiniaceae. The record is from RNAcentral.
CUUACGCGUAGGGCUACACACGUGCUACAAUGGCAGUGACAAUGGGAUAAUCCCCAAAAGCUGUCUCAGUUCGGAUUGUCGGCUGCAACUCGCCGGCAUGAAGUUGGAAUCGCUAGUAAUCGUGGAUCAGCAUGCCACGGUGAAUACGUUCCCGGGCCUUGUACACACCGCCCGUCACACCAUGGGAGUUGGGUUUACCCGAAGGCAGUGCGCUAACCGUAAGGGGGCAGCUGACCACGGUAGGCUCAGCGACUGGGGUGAAGUCGUAACAAGGUAGCCGUAGGGGAACCUGCGGCUGGAUCACCUCCUU